AACGAACGUUGGCGGCAGGCUUAACACAUGCAAGUCGAACGCAUCCUUCGGGGUGAGUGGCAGACGGGUGAGUAACGCGUGGGAACGUGCCCUUCAGUUCGGGAUAACCCAGGGAAACUUGGGCUAAUACCGGAUACGUGCGAGAGCAGAAAGAUUUAUCGCUGAAGGAUCGGCCCGCGUCUGAUUAGCUAGUUGGUGGGGUAAUGGCCCACCAAGGCGACGAUCAGUAGCGGGUCUGAGAGGAUGAUCAGCCACAUUGGGACUGAGACACGGCCCAAACUCCUACGGGAGGCAGCAGUGGGGAAUAUUGGACAAUGGGCGCAAGCCUGAUCCAGCCAUGCCGCGUGAGUGUUGAAGGCCUUAGGGUUGUGAAGCUCUUUCGUCCGGGACGAUAAUGACGGUACCGGAAGAAGAAGCCCCGGCUAACUUCGUGCCAGCCGCCGCCGUAA
Molecule: ribosomal RNA, 449 nt
Filed under: uncultured bacterium
Lineage: Bacteria
Description: partial 16S ribosomal RNA
Rfam family: Bacterial small subunit ribosomal RNA
Source: RNAcentral